RNAcentral lists this long non-coding RNA (2585 nucleotides) under Marmota monax (woodchuck). The record is from RNAcentral. Lineage: Eukaryota; Metazoa; Chordata; Mammalia; Rodentia; Sciuridae.
AAACUGUUUGUGAUCUCUGAGUCUCACUCUUAGGGACCCAUUGUGAGUGACCUUGUGGUGCAGCUGCUGCCCGAGGUCCUGCUGGACGUCCACGGCAGCAUGACCACUGCAGCUGGACUAGCUCUCCCCACCCAGGUAGCAAUGUAUCAAGAACCUUUACCCCACAUCCUCACCGACACUUAUUGUUAUAUUUAUUUUUGAUAAUUGCCAUUCUAACUGUAGUCAGGUGGAAUCUCAAUGUAGUUUUGAUUUGCAUUUCUCUAAUUGAUAGAGAGUUGAACCUAUUUUAUAUAUUUUUGACAAUUCAUUUUUCUUCUUCAGUGAAAUUUCUGUUUAACUCCUUAGCCCAUUUAUUCAUUUUUUUUUAUUUGGGGGAUUUUGGGUGUUAAUUUGAGUUCUUUGUAUAUAUUCUGGACAUUAAUGCUCUAUCUGAGGUGCUAGUGGUAAAGAUUUUCUCCCAUUCUCUUCAUGUUCUUGUUUCCUUUGCUGGGAAGAAGUGUCUUAGUUUGAUAGCAUCCCAUUGAUUGAUUCUUGAUUUUACUUCUUUUGCUUUAGGAGACUCGUUAAGGAAGUCAGUUCCUAAGCCAACGGGGUAAAGAUUGGGGCCUGCUUUUUCUUCUACUAUGUGCAGAGUCUCUGGUCUAAAUGUCUAGGUCUUUGAUCCACUUUGAGUUGAGUUUUGUGCCGGGUGAGAGAUAGAGGUUCAGUUUCACUCUACUACAUAUGGAUUUCCAGUUUUCCCAAUCUUUUCUCCAAUAUAUGUUUAUGGCACCUUUGUCUAGUAUGAGAUACCUGUAUAAGAAAAGACUAAGACACAGAGAAGACACAGGAAGUGCCAUCUACAAACCAAGAGGAGAGGUCUCCAACCUGCCCACAACUGAUCUGACUUCCACCUUGAAAGCUGGGAGAGAGCGGCCUCUGUUGUCUACACUGCCAGACUGCUUCCUUGUUACGGUGGCUUUGCUCUUCUAAGAGCCAUUUGUGAGUCUCUGGAACUACUGGCCCCAGGAAUGAAGGAAGGGGGCAUAACCAGGGGAAGGCCAGUUUGCUCUGCCCAAACUGUGAGUGCAGGGCUACCUUUGCCAACAGUAGCUCAUCCCUGCAGAAGCAUCCUCAGGGUGGCUGAGCACCCCUUGAUGUUUCCUGAACAGCUGCCUUGUGGUGGUUUCUGGGCUUCAGGGGUCUGGGGAGGAGAAAGGAAACCAAAUACAGUCCAGCACACUCUUCUGUGCAAGCCCAAGGAACAGGGAGAACACUGAAGGAAAAAAACCUUCCAUUCCUGUGACCGUAUUGGGACCAGUGGCUAUUCCACCGUGGUCUGCUGCUGCUCCUCAGAGUUUCAAAGACACUUGGGAACCUCAUACUGAUCUUGUUUCCUCCCCUCCCUGCAUCCACUCCAAUGCUUAAUUUGUUUGGCUCUUCUAAUUCCCCUUGACUAUUACUUAUGGUGGAUAUUCCUUGGUGGUUCAGUAUGAACUCGAAUCUUAUUUUGGAGAUGAGACUCAGAAGGUCACCAAGUUCCUCAGAGCCAUGUGUCAGCUUCAUUCUCACUGCUCAGUCUUCAGUGCAAACAGUUUUACCCCAUGUCACAAAUGCUUCCAGAGCCAGCUUUUAAUAGCACUAUGCCCUUACUAACAGCUUUCAGCAAUGUCCACGCUCCGCAAGUAUUCUUCUUAACUCCCUGAGGAGUCCUGUCCUGUCCCUGCAACUACGACCCCAGAAGGGAAAUAGAGGCAUGGAGUCCCAAACUUGCACCUCAGGUCUAGGCACCCAUUCCACACCAAAGAGGGGUAUCUGCACCCAUUGUUCCAGCAGCAAAUGACAGCUGGGUAAGUGUGUAGUUACUGCAGGAAAGUUUCAUGUUAUCCCAGGAAUCUUAGCAUGUGUGUCCUCUGUAACACAUUCAUGCUCUCUGGGCUUGGACACAAAGGUAUCUUUAUAGACAGGGGAAGUCAUUUGCUGGGGAAACAUAGGCAGGUUGCCACCCCCAUCCACCUGCGUGGGACCGCCCACACCUCCCGUUCACCUUUUCCUGUGAGCAGCAGUGGCUAUUUGCCUCCCUACCAUCCCUCCCCCAUUUGCCUGAGCCCACAGCAUUCACUCUGAGGCUUCAGGCUGAGAUGUGUUGGAAUGGUAAGGCCCUGAGGGGGGAACUAGGUGCCCAGUGUGUGAUCCUGCAUCUCUCCUGGGGGGAACAUACUUUAUGAAAGGGGAUCUGUAAUCUCUGCAUUUGUUAUGAGAGAAUAGCACUUCCUGCCACAGAAAAACAAGUCAUUUCUUAUCCCAUGCAGACACUCUCAAAUAUGAUGUAAAACUAAAUACCGUUAAAAGACUGUAAGAAGCCAGGUGCAGUGGAGCACGCCUGUAAUCGCAGCAACUCGGAAGGCCGAGGCAGGAGGAUCCAAGUUCAAAGUCAGCCUCAGCAACUUAGUGAGGCCCUAAGCAGCUCAGUGAGACCCUCUCUCUAAAUAAAAUUGAAAAUAGGGCUGUGGAUGUGGCUGAGUGGUCAAGUGACCGAGUUCAAUCACCAGAACCUAAUGAUGAUGAUAACAACAACAACUAAAAAAGAGAUGAAUUAAAUAAUG